Molecule: long non-coding RNA, 850 nt
Filed under: Salvator merianae (Argentine black and white tegu)
Lineage: Eukaryota; Metazoa; Chordata; Lepidosauria; Squamata; Teiidae
Description: lncRNA (ENSSMRG00000002555.1)
Source: RNAcentral
UGAAUAGGCCGUGCUGCCAAAGAAGAGUUGCCAGGAAAGAUCUGACUUUCAUAUCCCGAGCAAUUGUUGCAAGGAAGGAAAACAGCCAGGGCUGAACUCCAAAAUGUUCGACAAGAAAGAUUUGCUGGAAAACGCACUGGCACUUCUCUUUUGCCCUUUAACGUUUGCCAUCUGUCUUAACAGUCUACCAUGUACUAGGUGAACCUCUGCUCUCUCCUCCUUCCUCUUUCAAUCUGGAGCUGAUGAAUCUGAUAAAGCAGAAGAAAAGAAGAGGUGAGCACCAGGAACACAAGAUGAAUUUUAAGUUAAUAGCUAAACCAAGAAAAACCAGGAGGCCUACAAGAGCAGAAGUAACUUUGAAAAUCUACCGGAGAAUCAAGUGCAGGAAUAAAUAUAUCAAUCUGAAGUGUCCAUGCAGAAUUAAACUACAAGGAAUUAGUCAAGCUCUUCUUAAUAGCUGCCAAGGCUGAGAUAGCUUUGCAUUGGAAGGUAGCUUCUCAGCCUUCUCUUAGUGGAUGGAGUGUGAGAGUCUGGAUCCUAGUCCUCAAUGAUUGAAGGAGCUGUGCAUACCCAGUUUAAAGACAAUUGAUCUCCACUAUUUGACACAGCAGGCCACAGUGUUUUCCUGAGCCCAAAUUCCUCAUAUCCAUUCUUCUUGAAUUCACAGUUUGUAUACCAGUUUCCUCACCUGUCUUUAGCUUGACUUUUGUCACAAUCUUUGGCCCUUGUCCUGUUAUAUGACAGAAUUAUCCCAUUGUGAUUUUUUGUAGUUGGUAGUUGUUAGUAUUUUAUUUUUGUACUUUUUGUGCAUUGUACAUGGUGGUUCAAUAAAAAAAUUUCAAAAAGAAAA